This 427-nucleotide ribosomal RNA is filed under the name uncultured prokaryote. RNAcentral's name for it is "bacterial SSU rRNA". It matches the Rfam family "Bacterial small subunit ribosomal RNA", at positions 355 to 774 of the family's 1533-position model. The record is from RNAcentral.
UGGGGAAUCUUCCACAAUGGACGAAAGUCUGAUGGAGCAACGCCGCGUGAGCGAUGAAGGAUUUCGGUCUGUAAAACUCUGUUGUUCAUGACGAACGUUCCCUAGGUGAAUAAUCUAGGGGAGUGACGGUAGUGAACGAGGAAGCCACGGCUAACUACGUGCCAGCAGCCGCGGUAAUACGUAGGUGGCAAGCGUUGUCCGGAAUUAUUGGGCGUAAAGAGCAUGUAGGCGGCUUUUUAAGUCGGCCGUGAAAAUGCGGGGCUUAACCCCGUAUUGCGGUCGAAACUGGAGGGCUUGAGUGCAGGAGAGGAAAGGGGAAGUCCCAGUGUAGCGGUGAAAUGCGUAGAUAUUGGGAGGAACACCAGUGGCGAAGGCGCCUUUCUGGACUGUGUCUGACGCUGAGAUGCGAAAGCCAGGGUAGCAAACG